UAGGGAAUCUUCCGCAAUGGACGCAAGUCUGACGGAGCAACGCCGCGUGAGUGAAGAAGGAUUUCGGUUCGUAAAACUCUGUUGUUAGAGAAGAACAGCGCAUAGAGUAACUGUUAUGCGUGUGACGGUAUCUAACCAGAAAGCCACGGCUAACUACGUGCCAGCAGCCGCGGUAAUACGUAGGUGGCAAGCGUUGUCCGGAUUUAUUGGGCGUAAAGCGAGCGCAGGCGGUCAAUUAAGUCUGAUGUGAAAGCUCCCGGCUCAACCGGGGUGGGUCAGUAGGAGCUGGUUGACUUGAGUGCAGAAGAGGAGAGUGGAAUUCCAUGUGUAGCGGUGAAAUGCGUAGAUAUAUGGAGGAACACCAGUGGCGAAGGCGACUCUCUGGUCUGUAACUGACGCUGAGGUUCGAAAGCGUGGGUAGCAAACAGG
Molecule: ribosomal RNA, 429 nt
Filed under: Bacteroidota bacterium
Lineage: Bacteria; Pseudomonadati; Bacteroidota
Description: Bacteroidetes bacterium partial 16S ribosomal RNA
Rfam family: Bacterial small subunit ribosomal RNA
Source: RNAcentral